RNAcentral lists this ribosomal RNA (484 nucleotides) under uncultured bacterium. RNAcentral's name for it is "partial 16S ribosomal RNA". It matches the Rfam family "Bacterial small subunit ribosomal RNA", at positions 28 to 523 of the family's 1533-position model. The record is from RNAcentral.
GAUGAACGCUGGCGGCGUGCCUAACACAUGCAAGUCGAACGGACUUACAUUGAAGCCUAGCGAUAUGUAAGUUAGUGGCGGACGGGUGAGUAACGCGUGGGUAACCUGCCUUGUACUGGGGGACAACAGUUGGAAACGACUGCUAAUACCGCAUAAGCGCACAGCUUCGCAUGAAGCAGUGUGAAAAACUCCGGUGGUACAAGAUGGACCCGCGUCGGAUUAGCUAGUUGGGGAGGUAACGGCCAACCAAGGCGACGAUCAGUAGCCGGCCUGAGAGGGUGAACGGCCACAUUGGGACUGAGACACGGACCGAACUCCUACGGGAGGCAGCAGUGGGGAAUAUUGCACAAUGGGGGAAACCCUGAUGCAGCAACGCCGCGUGAGUGAAGAAGUAUUUCGGUAUGUAAAGCUCUAUCAGCAGGAAAGAAAAUGACGGUACCUGACUAAGAAGCCCCGGCUAACUACGUGCCAGCCGCCGCAGUAA